This 540-nucleotide long non-coding RNA is filed under the name Gallus gallus (chicken). Its description in RNAcentral is "long non-coding RNA NONGGAT005330". The record is from RNAcentral. Lineage: Eukaryota; Metazoa; Chordata; Aves; Galliformes; Phasianidae.
GCCGACUUUUUUUGUUUGUUUGUUUGUUUUUUUUUUGAAGACUUUAUAGAAAGUGGAACGUCUAAAGGCACUGCACAAUGGAGUAUUUAAAGACUACUUUACAUUGUUAUGUACAUAUUACACACACACCGUCCUGCUCGCCCUGCGCGAACCGCUCGAGCUCACCACGUCCCCACGUAUGUGUAUGCAUCCUUCCUAAUCCCUGCUGAAUCGAGUCUAGUAAAGAACAUGCCUCAGGAGAAGUGAUUCUUACCAAUAAAAAGAAGCUUUCUAUGGGUAAAAUGUUAAUUAUAAGCAUCCUUGCCCCCCCCCCCCACCUUGGGGGAGGAGGGGGGGCUGCCCUGGGCACCGGCCUCGCACCGCGGGUGGCACCGCCCCGCUCCAUGGUCCGUUGUCCUGAGAAGCUGAGUCCUUAUCCCUGAUGGCGGAGCUCCCUGUUUGCAGUGCAAUGGCUAUGAAGAACCCCCGGCCCAGGCCUGGAACCGAUGACGAACUUUUAAAGCCAAACGACAGUCCAUCUUUGUGGGUAUUAUUAUUAUU